UACGUAGGGGGCAAGCGUUAUCCGGAUUUACUGGGUGUAAAGGGAGCGUAGACGGGAUGGCAAGUCUGAAGUGAAAGCCCGGGGCUCAACUCCGGGACUGCAUUGGAAACUGUCAAUCUUGAGUGCAGGAGGGGUAAGCGGAAUUCCUAGUGUAGCGGUGAAAUGCGUAGAUAUUAGGAGGAACACCGGUGGCGAAGGCGGCUUACUGGACUGUAACUGACGUUGAGGCUCGAAAGCGUGGGGAGCAAAC
Molecule: ribosomal RNA, 250 nt
Filed under: uncultured prokaryote
Description: partial 16S ribosomal RNA
Rfam family: Bacterial small subunit ribosomal RNA
Source: RNAcentral